CCGGGCGGGGGUGCUAUACAUGCAAGUCGAGCGGACAGAAGGGAGCUUGCUCCCGGAUGUUAGCGGCGGACGGGUGAGUAACACGUGGGUAACCUGCCUGUAAGACUGGGAUAACUCCGGGAAACCGGAGCUAAUACCGGAUAGUUCCUUGAACCGCAUGGUUCAAGGAUGAAAGACGGUUUCGGCUGUCACUUACAGAUGGACCCGCGGCGCAUUAGCUAGUUGGUGAGGUAACGGCUCACCAAGGCGACGAUGCGUAGCCGACCUGAGAGGGUGAUCGGCCACACUGGGACUGAGACACGGCCCAGACUCCUACGGGAGGCAGCAGUAGGGAAUCUUCCGCAAUGGACGAAAGUCUGACGGAGCAACGCCGCGUGAGUGAUGAAGGUUUUCGGAUCGUAAAGCUCUGUUGUUAGGGAAGAACAAGUGCAAGAGUAACUGCUUGCACCAUGACGGUACCUAACCAGAAAGCCACGGCUAACUACGUGCCAGCAGCCGCGGUAAUACGUAGGUGGCAAGCGUUGUCCGGAAUUAUUGGGCGUAAAGGGCUCGCAGGCGGUUUCUUAAGUCUGAUGUGAAAGCCCCCGGCUCAACCGGGGAGGGUCAUUGGAAACUGGGAAACUUGAGUGCAGAAGAGGAGAGUGGAAUUCCACGUGUAGCGGUGAAAUGCGUAGAGAUGUGGAGGAACACCAGUGGCGAAGGCGACUCUCUGGUCUGUAACUGACGCUGAGGAGCGAAAGCGUGGGGAGCGAACAGGAUUAGAUACCCUGGUAGUCCACGCCGUAAACGAUGAGUGCUAAGUGUUAUGGGGUUUCCGCCCCUUAGUGCUGCAGCUAACGCAUUAAGCACUCCGCCUGGGGAGUACGGUCGCAAGACUGAAACUCAAAGGAAUUGACGGGGGCCCGCACAAGCGGUGGAGCAUGUGGAUUUAAUUUCGAAGCAACGCGAAGAACCUUACCAUGUCUGACAUCUCUGACAACCCUAGAGAUAGGCUUUCCCUCGGGAACAGAGUGACAGGUGGUGCAUGCUUGUCGUUCAGCCUCGUGUCGUGGAGAUGUUGUGGUUUAAGUCCCGCUACC
RNAcentral lists this ribosomal RNA (1079 nucleotides) under Bacillus altitudinis. Its description in RNAcentral is "bacterial SSU rRNA". It matches the Rfam family "Bacterial small subunit ribosomal RNA", at positions 36 to 1094 of the family's 1533-position model. The record is from RNAcentral. Lineage: Bacteria; Bacillati; Bacillota; Bacilli; Caryophanales; Bacillaceae.